This 370-nucleotide long non-coding RNA is filed under the name Populus tremula. Its description in RNAcentral is "long non-coding RNA (PTRE_LNC000860)". Lineage: Eukaryota; Viridiplantae; Streptophyta; Magnoliopsida; Malpighiales; Salicaceae. The record is from RNAcentral.
AGCACAGAUGGCUAACUCACAUUUUUCCAUGGCUAGACUUUCUCGUCUUCACCUAUGAAUGGGUGUGUUAAUUUGUAUGCCCAUCCUUGAGCUCGCUUCAUGGAGAAGAAGACUAUCUGUGCUAAAAAAUUAUAAUGGAGGGUUAUUCCAUGCUUGUCUGGGUCGCUGUGCUUGCUCUGCUGUUGGUGCAGAAGUCGAUGCCUGACAUUGGUAGUGGUGCGAGGUUCUGUGAUUGAAGAAUAAUUUGGUGAUGGCAACAGAGAGUUGGUGAUGGCAGUUGUCAUAGCACUGUGUGACUAGUUGUGUUCUUCAUUGCUGUUCAUCAUUAUAUUUACAAGAAACUCUACAAUAUGUUGGGAGUUUAUUUACC